AUUGAACGCUGGCGGCAGGCCUAACACAUGCAAGUCGAGCGGAUGAUGGGAGCUUGCUCCUGGAUUCAGCGGCGGACGGGUGAGUAAUGCCUAGGAAUCUGCCUGGUAGUGGGGGAUAACGUCCGGAAACGGGCGCUAAUACCGCAUACGUCCUGAGGGAGAAAGUGGGGGAUCUUCGGACCUCACGCUAUCAGAUGAGCCUAGGUCGGAUUAGCUAGUUGGUGGGGUAAAGGCCUACCAAGGCGACGAUCCGUAACUGGUCUGAGAGGAUGAUCAGUCACACUGGAACUGAGACAAGGUCCAGAAUCCUAAGGGAGGCAGCAGUGGGGAAUAUUGGACAAUGGGCGAAAGCCUGAUCCAGCCAUGCCGCGUGUGUGAAGAAGGUAUUCGGAUUGUAAAGCACUUUAAGUUGGGAGGAAGGGCAGUAAGUUAAUACCUUGCUGUUUUGACGUUACCAACAGAAUAAGCACCGGCUAACUUCGUG
This 484-nucleotide ribosomal RNA is filed under the name uncultured bacterium. RNAcentral describes it as "partial 16S ribosomal RNA". It matches the Rfam family "Bacterial small subunit ribosomal RNA", at positions 30 to 507 of the family's 1533-position model. The record is from RNAcentral.